GACGAACGCUGGCGGCGUGCUUAACACAUGCAAGUCGAACGGAAAGGCCCUGCUUUUGUGGGGUGCUCGAGUGGCGAACGGGUGAGUAACACGUGAGUACCCUGCCCUUGACUUUGGGAUAACUUCAGGAAACUGGGGCUAAUACCGGAUAGGCGCUCCUGCUGCAUGGUGGGGGUUGGAAAGUUUCGGCGGUUGGGGAUGGACUCGCGGCUUAUCAGCUUGGUGGUGGGGUAGUGGUUUACCAAGGCUUUGACGUGUAGCCGGCCUGAGAGGGUGAGCGGCCAUGGUGGGACGGAGAUACGGCGCAGACUCCUACGGGAGGCAGCAGGGGAGAAUAGUGCACAAUGGGCGGAAGCCUGAUGCAGCAACGCCGCGUGCGGGAUGACGGCCGUCGGGUUGUAAACCGCUUUCGCCUGUGACGAAGCGUGAGUGACGGUAAUGGGUAAAGAAGCACCGGCUAACUACGUG
Molecule: ribosomal RNA, 468 nt
Filed under: uncultured bacterium
Lineage: Bacteria
Description: partial 16S ribosomal RNA
Rfam family: Bacterial small subunit ribosomal RNA
Source: RNAcentral